GCCUCCGUAGCUCAGCGGAUAGAGCAGCCGCCUUCUAAGCGGUUGGUCGCAGGUUCGAUCCCUGCCGGGGGCGC
Molecule: transfer RNA, 74 nt
Filed under: Mycolicibacterium duvalii
Lineage: Bacteria; Bacillati; Actinomycetota; Actinomycetes; Mycobacteriales; Mycobacteriaceae
Also listed under: 6 other names
Description: tRNA-Arg
Rfam family: tRNA
About the family: Transfer RNA (tRNA) molecules are approximately 80 nucleotides in length. Their secondary structure includes four short double-helical elements and three loops (D, anti-codon, and T loops).
Source: RNAcentral